RNAcentral lists this transfer RNA (33 nucleotides) under Desmognathus quadramaculatus (black-bellied salamander). RNAcentral describes it as "partial tRNA-Val". The record is from RNAcentral. Lineage: Eukaryota; Metazoa; Chordata; Amphibia; Caudata; Plethodontidae.
CAAAAUAUAGCUUAAGUAAAGCAUUUUGCUUAC